CAGUCGAGGGGUAUGGUUCUUCGGAACCAGAGACCGGCGCACGGGUGCGUAACGCGUAUGCAAUCUACCUUUCACAGAGGGAUAGCCCAGAGAAAUUUGGAUUAAUACCUCAUAGUAUAACGACCUGGCAUCAGGAUGUUAUUAAAGUCACAACGGUGAAAGAUGAGCAUGCGUCCCAUUAGCUAGUUGGUAAGGUAACGGCUUACCAAGGCUACGAUGGGUAGGGGUCCUGAGAGGGAGAUCCCCCACACUGGUACUGAGACACGGACCAGACUCCUACGGGAGGCAGCAGUGAGGAAUAUUGGACAAUGGGCGCAAGCCUGAUCCAGCCAUGCCGCGUGCAGGAUGACGGUCCUAUGGAUUGUAAACUGCUUUUAUACGAGAAGAAACACUCCUUCGUGAAGGAGCUUGACGGUAUCGUAAGAAUAAGGAUCGGCUAACUCCGUGCCAGCAGCCGCGGUAAUACGGAGGAUCCAAGCGUUAUCCGGAAUCAUUGGGUUUAAAGGGUCCGUAGGCGGUUUAAUAAGUCAGUGGUGAAAGCCCAUCGCUCAACGGUGGAACGGCCAUUGAUACUGUUAGACUUGAAUUAUUAGGAAGUAACUAGAAUAUGUAGUGUAGCGGUGAAAUGCUUAGAGAUUACAUGGAAUACCAAUUGCGAAGGCAGGUUACUACUAAUGGAUUGACGCUGAUGGACGAAAGCGUGGGUAGCGAACAGGAUUAGAUACCCUGGUAGUCCACGCCGUAAACGAUGGAUACUAGCUGUUGGGAGCAAUCUCAGUGGCUAAGCGAAAGUGAUAAGU
This 800-nucleotide ribosomal RNA is filed under the name Flavobacterium sp. RNAcentral's name for it is "bacterial SSU rRNA". It matches the Rfam family "Bacterial small subunit ribosomal RNA", at positions 59 to 865 of the family's 1533-position model. Lineage: Bacteria; Pseudomonadati; Bacteroidota; Flavobacteriia; Flavobacteriales; Flavobacteriaceae. The record is from RNAcentral.